AAAAUGACAAACCCUGGUUUCCAUGUCCAACAUUCGACCGUCCGUCUUAUUUGAAAAAAUUAUAAAAAAAUUAAAAGACAAGUCACGCAUAAAAUAUUAAUCAUGUUUUAUCAUCUAACAACAAUGAAAAUACGAAUUAUAAAAAAAAUUUAUAUAAGACGAACAGUCAAAGUUAGAUACGGAAACCCAGGGUUUGCCUUUUU
Molecule: non-coding RNA, 203 nt
Organism: Oryza nivara
Lineage: Eukaryota; Viridiplantae; Streptophyta; Magnoliopsida; Poales; Poaceae
Source: Rfam